AUACGGAGGAUGCGAGCGUUAUCCGGAUUUAUUGGGUUUAAAGGGAGCGUAGGCGGGAGCUUAAGUCAGCGGUUAAAUGGUGCGGCUCAACCGUGCCCUGCCGUUGAAACUGGGUUUCUUGAGAGUGCAAGAGGCGGAUGGAAUUCAUGGUGUAGCGGGGAAAUGCUUAGAUAUCAUGAAGAACUCCGAUUGCGAAGGCAGUCCGCUGGGGCACGUCUGACGCUGAUGCUCGAAGGUGCGGGAAUCAAACAGGAUUAGAUACCCUGGUAGUCCGCACGGUAAACGAUGAUUACCCGCUGUCGGCGGCAGACAGUCGGCGGCCAAGCGAAAGCGAUAAGUAAUCCACCUGGGGAGUACGCCGGCAACGGUGAAACUCAAAGGAAUUGACGGGG
Molecule: ribosomal RNA, 392 nt
Filed under: uncultured bacterium
Lineage: Bacteria
Description: partial 16S ribosomal RNA
Rfam family: Bacterial small subunit ribosomal RNA
Source: RNAcentral